ACCCACCUUUAACAUGCAAAUUCAUGCAAAUCACACACUUUUAUUUUUUGUGAAUAUUUUUUUAUUAUUAUUUUUCUCAUUCCGGAGCCAAAACCCCCCAAAAAAAACCCCCAAAAAAACCCCAAAAAAACCCCAAAAAAAAACCCCAAAAAAAUUCCCAUUUCCGGGUUGGGGGCGGGGCCAACACCGAGGCCACGCCCCCUUUUCCCGCCAGCCAAUAGGAGGGAGGGGGCGUGGCCAAAGGGGAAAAGGGGCGGAGCCGAUCUCACCUGGAAAGAAAAGGGGGCGGAGUUAAAGGGGAACUGGUUUAUACUGGUUUAUACUGGUUUAUACUGGUUUGGGGUUUUUUCUUACUGGUUUGUACUGGGAAUGGGUUUGGGGUUACUGGUUUGUACUGGGAAUGGGUUUGGGGUUACUGGUUUGUACUGGGAAUGGGUUUGGGGUUACUGGUUUGUACUGGGAAUGGGUUUGGGGUUACUGGUUUGUACUGGGAGGGGGUUUGGGGUUACUGGUUUGUACUGGGAAUGGGUUUGGGGUUACUGGUUUGUACUGGGAAUGGGUUUGCGGUUACUGGAACGCCCCAAAAUUGACCAAAAACGCCCAAAAUGGCCCCGAAAUGACCCAAAAUCAGCCCAAGUUUGGGAUGGGGGAGGGGAAAUUUGGGGUUGAGGGUGGCCCAAAAUUUGGGAAUUCCCAAAAUUCCCAAAAUUCCCAAAAUUCCCGAAAUUAUCCCCAAAAAUUUCCCGAAAUUCCCGCAAAAAACACCCCAAAAAUGACCCAAAAUGACACAAAUUUGCCCAAAAUCAACCCAAGUUUGGGGUGGGGGAGGGGAAAUUUGGGGUUGGGGGGGCCCAAAAUUUGGGAAUUCCCAAAAUUCCCAAAAUUCCCAAAAUUCCCGAAAUUAUCCCCAAAAUUCCCGCGGAAAACGCCCCAAAAUUGACCCAAAAUGACCCAAAUUAGCCCAAAAUCAGCCUCAAUUUGGAGUGGGGGAGGGGAAAUUUGGGGUUGGGGGGGACCCAAAAUUUGGGAAUCCCAAAAUUCCCAAAAUUCCCGAAAUUCCCGAAAUUAUCCCCAAAAAUUUCCCGAAAUUCCCGCAAAAACGCCCCAAAAUUGACCCAAAAUGGCCCCGAAAUGACCCAAAAUCAGCCCAAGUUGGGGUGGGGGAGGAGAAAUUUGGGGUCAGGGGGGGGCCCAAAUUUGGGAAUCCCCAAAUUCCCAAAAUUCCCAAAAUUCCCGAAAUUAUCCCCAAAAAUUUCCCGAAAUUCCCGCAAAAAACGGCCCAAAAUUGACCCAAAAUCACUAAAAAUUGACCCAAAUUUGCCCCAAAUGGCCCCAAAAUCAGCCCAAGUUUGGGGUCGGGGGGUCCCAAAAUUUGUGAAUCCCAAAAUUCCCAAAAUUCCCAAAAUUCCCGAAAUUAUCCCCAAAAAUUUCCCGAAAUUCCCGCAAAAAACGCCCCAAAAAUGACCCAAAAUGGCCCCGAAAUGACCCAAAAUCAGCCCAAGUUUGGGGUGGGGGAGGGGAAAUUUGGGGUUGGGGGGGGCCAAAAUUUGGGAAUCCCAAAAUUCCCAAAAUUCCCGAAAUUAUCCCCAAAAAUUUCCAAAAUUCCCACAAAAAACGCCCCAAAAAUGACCCAAAAUGACCCAAAUUUGCCCAAAAUGGCCCCAAAAUGACCCAAAAUCAGCCCAAAUUUGGAGUGGGGGAGGGGAAAUUUGGGGUUGGGGGGGGCCAAAAUUCGGGAAUUCCAAAAUUCCCAAAAUUCCCAAAAUUAUCCCCAAAAAUUUCCCGAAAUUCCCACAAAAAACGCCCCAAAAAUGACCCAAAAUGGCCCAAAAUGGCCCCAAAUUUGGGAUCGGGGGGGCCCCAAAUUCGGAUAUCCCCAAAUUCCCAAAAUUCCCAAAAUUAUCUCCAAAUUUCCCCCCAAAUCCCCAAUUUUUGGCUUCCCCCACUCCAAAUUUUUGGGGUCCCCCCAAAUUUUUGGGUUCCCACCCCAAACCCCCCAAAUUUUUGGGGUCCCACCCCAAAAUAUCCAAUUUUUCGACUUCUGCCCCUCCAAAAACCCCAAAAUUUUUGGGCUCCCCCACCCCAAACCCCCAAAAUUUUGGGGUCCCCCCAAAUUUUUGUCUCCCCCCACCCCAAA
This is a long non-coding RNA of Taeniopygia guttata (zebra finch), 2137 nucleotides long. The record is from Ensembl. NCBI's taxonomy places the organism in Eukaryota, Metazoa, Chordata, Aves, Passeriformes, Estrildidae.